AGCCCGGUGGUGUAGAGGCCAAUCAUACGAGGUUCUGGUCCUCGUUACCCAGGUUCGAAUCCUGGCCGGGCUA
RNAcentral lists this transfer RNA (73 nucleotides) under Thermoplasmatales archaeon SW_10_69_26. RNAcentral's name for it is "tRNA-Gln". It matches the Rfam family "tRNA". From Rfam's summary of the family: Transfer RNA (tRNA) molecules are approximately 80 nucleotides in length. Their secondary structure includes four short double-helical elements and three loops (D, anti-codon, and T loops). Further hydrogen bonds mediate the characteristic L-shaped molecular structure. tRNAs have two regions of fundamental functional importance: the anti-codon, which is responsible for specific mRNA codon recognition, and the 3' end, to which the tRNAs corresponding amino acid is attached (by aminoacyl-tRNA synthetases). tRNAs cope with the degeneracy of the genetic code in two manners: having more than one tRNA (with a specific anti-codon) for a particular amino acid; and 'wobble' base-pairing, i.e. permitting non-standard base-pairing at the 3rd anti-codon position. Lineage: Archaea; Methanobacteriati; Thermoplasmatota; Thermoplasmata; Thermoplasmatales. The record is from RNAcentral.